AAUAGAAAUUUAACCGUAGACAGCGGGUGCGAAAGCUUAAUUUCCCGCCGAGGUACAAUAUAAAAAUAUUGACCUUGUGCGUUUUGCGGAAAAUAUGAAAGCUAAAGCGGACAAGGUUUUUUUAUG
This 126-nucleotide small RNA is filed under the name pig gut metagenome. RNAcentral's name for it is "Ribosomal protein L10 leader". It matches the Rfam family "Ribosomal protein L10 leader". From Rfam's summary of the family: This family is a putative r-protein leader autoregulatory structure found in B. subtilis and other low-GC Gram-positive bacteria. It is located in the 5' untranslated regions of mRNAs encoding ribosomal proteins L10 and L12 (rplJ-rplL). The record is from RNAcentral.